UGCUGGAUGCUGACGAGCGGCGGACGGGUGAGUAAUGCAUAGGAAUCUGCCCGAUAGUGGGGGAUAACCUGGGGAAACCCAGGCUAAUACCGCAUACGUCCUACGGGAGAAAGGGGGCUCCGGCUCCCGCUAUGGGAUGAGCCUAUGUCGGAUUAGCUAGUUGGUGAGGUAACGGCUCACCAAGGCCACGAUCCGUAGCUGGUCUGAGAGGAUGAUCAGCCACAUCGGGACUGAGACACGGCCCGAACUCCUACGGGAGGCAGCAGUGGGGAAUAUUGGACAAUGGGGGAAACCCUGAUCCAGCCAUGCCGCGUGUGUGAAGAAGGCCCUCGGGUUGUAAAGCACUUUCAGCGAGGAAGAACGCCUAGCGGUUAAUACCCGCUAGGAAAGACAUCACUCGCAGAAGAAGCACCGGCUAACUCCGUGCCAGCAGCCGCGGUAAUACGGAGGG
This 451-nucleotide ribosomal RNA is filed under the name Vreelandella aquamarina. RNAcentral's name for it is "bacterial SSU rRNA". It matches the Rfam family "Bacterial small subunit ribosomal RNA", at positions 79 to 532 of the family's 1533-position model. The record is from RNAcentral. Lineage: Bacteria; Pseudomonadati; Pseudomonadota; Gammaproteobacteria; Oceanospirillales; Halomonadaceae.